GAAAUGUUAGGAUGGACAAGAGUAGAGGCUGUCAGACAGAUUCCGUAUGCAUAGGCAGCAGAAGAUGCGAUACAGGAAGCAUAGAGCUCCAUUCACUUGCUAUCUGCCGGAGGUUUGCAGGCAGUUCGUGGGGAGCCUGUAGUCCUUCCUCUACCAGGUAGAGUCUACCUGGAAGGGAUGACAACCCUGAGAUGCUUCUGGGAGACAGAGCACAUUGAGCCUGAACUUCCCUUUGUUAAAGGGAGACCAUAGCAUGGUCCAGCAUUCUUCAUGUUCCUCCUUGGGCUGCUUAUUGAUGGUUUGAACUGGGAAUUUGCAUGAUAUCUGUGAUGGACUGAUAUCCUCUGCUUCUGAGAAUGCCUCCAGCAUCACGACAAGCUUGUAUGAGCAGUUAUAUUAAUGGAGUCAUUGUAUUUUGAUUCACUGCUUGGUCCUUUAAGUGCAUGGUCUUGAAUUUCUGAAUUAAUUUCUGAGUUACGUCAUAAAUACCAUAAUGGCUGUGUUGAUCAAGAUGGUAAUCUCUUUAUUCUCUUCUGUAAAUUACUAUAAUUAUCUGCUUUUAUAACAAAUAAAUUCAAAAAGACUCAAA
Long non-coding RNA from Brienomyrus brachyistius, 589 nucleotides. RefSeq lists it as uncharacterized. NCBI's taxonomy places the organism in Eukaryota, Metazoa, Chordata, Actinopteri, Osteoglossiformes, Mormyridae. The record is from RefSeq and is a predicted model, not a curated record. The transcript is spliced from 2 exons.